GGCUCCAUAGCUCAGUGGUUAGCACGCUGGUCUUGUAAACCAGGGGUUGCGAGUUCAACUUUUGCUGGAGCCU
Non-coding RNA from Xenopus tropicalis (tropical clawed frog), 73 nucleotides. NCBI's taxonomy places the organism in Eukaryota, Metazoa, Chordata, Amphibia, Anura, Pipidae. The record is from Rfam.